RNAcentral lists this unclassified non-coding RNA (374 nucleotides) under uncultured bacterium. RNAcentral describes it as "contains 16S-23S intergenic spacer region". The record is from RNAcentral.
UCCGGCUUGACGCCGGCAGUCCCCCGAGAGUCCUCAGCUUUACCUGCUAGUAACACGGGGCAAGGGUUGCGCUCGUUACGGGACUUAACCCGACAUCUCACGACACGAGCUGACGACGGCCAUGCAUCACCUGUCACUGCGUUCCCGAAGGCACAGUCUCCUUUCGGAGUCCUUCGCAGGAUGUCAAAUCUUGGUAAGGUUAUCGUUUACCAUCGAAUUAAACCACACGCUCCACCGCUUGUGCGGGUCCCCGUCAAUUCCUUUGAGUUUCACCGUUGCCGGCGUACUCCCCAGGUGGAUUACUUAUCGCUUUCGCUAAGCCGCGUACUGUAUAUCGCACACAGCGAGUAAUCAACGUUUACAGUGUGGACUAC